GGCCUAACACCUGCAAGUCGAGGGGUAUAUUUCUUCGGAGAUAGAGACCGGCGCACGGGUGCGUAACGCGUAUGCAAUCUACCUUUUACAGAGGGAUAGCCCAGAGAAAUUUGGAUUAAUACCUCAUAGUAUAGCAGUUUCGCAUGAAACCACUAUUAAAGUCACAACGGUAAAAGAUGAGCAUGCGUCCCAUUAGCUAGUUGGUAAGGUAACGGCUUACCAAGGCUACGAUGGGUAGGGGUCCUGAGAGGGAGAUCCCCCACACUGGUACUGAGACACGGACCAGACUCCUACGGGAGGCAGCAGUGAGGAAUAUUGGACAAUGGGCGCAAGCCUGAUCCAGCCAUGCCGCGUGCAGGAUGACGGUCCUAUGGAUUGUAAACUGCUUUUAUACGAGAAGAAACACUGCUACGUGUAGCAGCUUGACGGUAUCGUAAGAAUAAGGAUCGG
RNAcentral lists this ribosomal RNA (450 nucleotides) under uncultured Flavobacteriia bacterium. RNAcentral describes it as "bacterial SSU rRNA". It matches the Rfam family "Bacterial small subunit ribosomal RNA", at positions 45 to 496 of the family's 1533-position model. The record is from RNAcentral. Lineage: Bacteria; Pseudomonadati; Bacteroidota; Flavobacteriia.